This 312-nucleotide long non-coding RNA is filed under the name Medicago truncatula (barrel medic). RNAcentral describes it as "long non-coding RNA (MTRU_LNC005683)". Lineage: Eukaryota; Viridiplantae; Streptophyta; Magnoliopsida; Fabales; Fabaceae. The record is from RNAcentral.
UUGAUGUUGCAAUUGUUCUGAUGCAGAUGGUGGAGGCAGUGCUAAAAUACCAUUGGAUGGGUAAGGGUCAGAUUGAUAUUGAAUAUGAUUAUAGCUAGGUACCACAUUUCCAGAUGGUGCAGGUAGUGCGAAAACAUCGUUGGAUCGGUAACGGUCAGAUUGAUAUUGAAUACGGUUAUAGCUAGGUACCACAUUUCCAUGUCCACCGUUAUAUUCAUUAUAAUGGUAACCGCGACUCUGAUCACCAUUAUAUUCAUUAUAGCGGUAUUCACGACCGUGGUUACCAUUAUAUUCAUUGUGAGAAUGUCCACC